CUCUCCCUGCCUUGUGCGAUAAAUACGGCUUAUAUAACCCAACACGUAAUUAUUGGGAGCCUAUCUCCGGUGACGGAUUGCAGACCUCCCGACUUUGGUCGGACGAAGGGAGCGCGAACUCAUUGGGCGGCACCCACCUGCUAUGAGCAGGUUAUAAUCUGUCGUAUCCGGCUUGGCGGGGCGUUU
Molecule: non-coding RNA, 186 nt
Filed under: Clostridiales bacterium
Lineage: Bacteria; Bacillati; Bacillota; Clostridia; Eubacteriales
Description: 6S RNA
Rfam family: 6S / SsrS RNA
About the family: E. coli 6S RNA was the first non coding RNA to be sequenced, but its function was unknown until recently. It consists of 184 nucleotides that fold into an extended hairpin structure with a large single-stranded internal bulge.
Source: RNAcentral